Pantherophis guttatus is the source of this 423-nucleotide long non-coding RNA. RefSeq lists it as uncharacterized. Lineage: Eukaryota; Metazoa; Chordata; Lepidosauria; Squamata; Colubridae. The record is from RefSeq and is a predicted model, not a curated record.
UAACUUCUUUGAUAAAGUUUCUGUAGACCAGGGACACACCACUGGACUUGACUUUCGACAUUAGGCAGUUCAAACAGUCAAGAUGUGAAAAAGAGGAACGUGAAAGACUGCACAUUAACUGGUAUCCUUGGUAUGAAUGAAGGGCAAAAGUGUGUUUUUCAAAAAUGUAUUUGGCGUAUGGCAUAUCAUACAUGGACUUUUGGUAUAGCACCAAUUACAGAGAAGAUGAGAGAAGGCUGGCUCUGCUGGUAUGGACAUGUCCAGAGAACAGCACCUUCCACUGUUGCCAAGACUGCCUACUAACUAGAAGUCAAUGGCCGGGGACCUCGCGGGCACCCAAAACUGAGAGGGCAAGACAGCAUCAACAAAGACAUAACAAGGCCGGAAUGCAGUAAAAAGCAAUAAAUCGUUUUAUGAUUCUAA